UAUAAAGUAGUAUUUAAGUACGAUGGGUUUUGAUUCCAUAGGAGCAAAGUAAGUGGUGCCUUUAUAU
This 67-nucleotide transfer RNA is filed under the name Gigantidas platifrons. Its description in RNAcentral is "tRNA-Gln". Lineage: Eukaryota; Metazoa; Mollusca; Bivalvia; Mytilida; Modiolidae. The record is from RNAcentral.